AGCCCGGUAGUCUAGCGGCCAAACAAGCUGGUCAGAAAACCCGGGGACCUGGGUUCGAAUCCCAGCCGGGCU
This 72-nucleotide transfer RNA is filed under the name Nitrososphaeria archaeon. Its description in RNAcentral is "tRNA-Phe". It matches the Rfam family "tRNA". From Rfam's summary of the family: Transfer RNA (tRNA) molecules are approximately 80 nucleotides in length. Their secondary structure includes four short double-helical elements and three loops (D, anti-codon, and T loops). Lineage: Archaea; Thermoproteati; Nitrososphaerota; Nitrososphaeria. The record is from RNAcentral.